Long non-coding RNA from Passer domesticus (house sparrow), 426 nucleotides. RefSeq lists it as uncharacterized. The record is from RefSeq and is a predicted model, not a curated record. NCBI's taxonomy places the organism in Eukaryota, Metazoa, Chordata, Aves, Passeriformes, Passeridae. The transcript is spliced from 3 exons.
AGCUGACCAAGGUGCCCCAGCUCCAGCUCUCUUGGAGCACAGGGACUGCAGUGAGUGGCCGCCUUCUCCCAGCUCUGGCCCUCUUGACUGUCCAUCUGCUGGUGUCAGUGAGAUGAGAGAGGGAUGCAGCUUUUGAGGGUGAAUCAAAUCAUCCCAAGCCAUGAAUUUUGUGUCAUUAAUUUCAUCCUGAAAGCAGGCUCCUUCAUUCUCCUGGGAUGAAUUUUAGAGCUUAAAACAGAGAGAGCAGCAGGAGGCAUUGCAAGCAGAUCUUUGAUGCUGCGGAUGAGAGAUGGACCCUGGUGAAAACUGGAAGCUGGAUGAAACAAACUGGUUGUCUCAUGGUGGGAUCCACCCCUUUUCCAAUGUGAAAGGAGACAAUGAGCUCUCCGAAGGUGCCCCAGCCCUCUUUGCUCUGGAUCAGCUGGG